This 1721-nucleotide transfer RNA is filed under the name Marmota monax (woodchuck). Lineage: Eukaryota; Metazoa; Chordata; Mammalia; Rodentia; Sciuridae. The record is from RNAcentral.
CAGUGCCUCGGACGCGGAGAAGAGGGACCCGGAAGUGGCCGUGCCGAGGGGCUGCCGUUCCUCCAGGCUAAGAACCGCGGUGUCUGUUCCUCUGCCGCCCUCCCGUCCCCCCGUCCCCCCGUCCCCCCGUGCCCCCGUGCCCCCGUGCCCCCGUGCCCCCGUCCUUUCGCAGACUGGAAUGAAUACACCAGGAUACUCUGGACGUGGGGGUUUUAUGAAGUUCCGUUUAAAACUAAAAACCUGACUGCCGAAACCCGGGAUCGAACCAGGGACCUUUAGAUCUUCAGUCUAACGCUCUCCCAACUGAGCUAUUUCGGCGCCUUUUGCAGCGUUCUUUGGCUAAGCUUUUACUGAGCACUCCACGUCCAAUUGUCACACCUGCAUUUUCUAAUGAGCACUUACAAAGUUCCGCGAUUUCUUUGUCCUGCUCCACGGUAACCGCCCUCCCGCCCGCCAUUCCCCAGCCCGGAUCCGACGCGCACCACCUCCGCGCCCGCAGCCCCGGCGAUGGCUCGCCGGGGACUGGAACUGGGGGUCCUGGGGAGCCGAUUCCCUGCUACACGUGCGUCACUGUGCGGGAAAGUUCCAGGGUCCCCGCGACGAGCGGUGUUGGCGCAAAACUGUUGUAUUGAGUGGACAGGGCCUUGGAGGCAAGAAUAGUGUUCCGCCAGCCUCAGGUGCGGAGUUUGCACCCUCCGGUGCACCUGGGUGCGGGAGCGCCCGCCUUGAUUAUCAUCUCUUUGAAUGGAGCCUGCUUGGCAAAAGCUAGGCCAGCUCACGAAGGACGAGUACUCAAAUGUCAGUGCUACUUCUUAACGCAAGUCGCAAAUAUUCCUCAAGUACCCAUUAAGUGUCAAGCUAGGACAUUCUGCAACUCCCAACAUCCUAUUGUUAUGUUCUGUUUUUCAUCCUCUCCAAUUAAAUUGGAUUUAUCUCAUGGCAAGGAUCUCUCACUUUACCGCCCUUUUAACCUGCUCAUUAGAGCUUUGCAUUAAAGUGGAAGCUUCUCAACCAAUUUGGAUGAAUGGAUGGAUGGAUUCAAAGGGGAAAGAAAAAGUAAAUUGGAAGCGUCUGCAGUCUCUGUUGUUACCACCAGUUCUCCUCCCCUUCUGGAAAAGAGUCUCUCUCUGAGUUCCUUGGUUGUGCCAUAUCCAAACACAAAGAACCUGAGAUUUAGAAGUCAGUGGGUAAAGGCGGGAGAGACCCAAGAGAAUUUGGAGUUAGAGAAGUUCAGAGGUUUAGGGAGCUUUAGAGUGGAAGAAGUCUGGGGCAGUCGCCUUAAUAUCGUACAUUUAAAAGGAAGCAGAGAAAGAAGAGUUUUACAGGUUUUCUUACAUGUUCACAAUGUCCCCUUCACAUUCUGAAAAUACUGCAGGAAAGACUUGACUUAUUUUCAAUGACUCUUUGGGUUCCCAGUUGGCAACUCUUUACUGUUAACUGCCUGCCUGGAUUGAAUCAUGCCGUAGCUGAACUUCUUAGAUUUUUACAAUUCAUGUCUUCAGGUUAACAUCUAAUCUAGGAAGUCGCUCCUGAAAAUAUGUAUUUUGGAUGAAUGUCAAUGGAGGGGGUCAAUAAUAGACAUGAGAUCCAGGUCAUAGUGUUGCCCUUUCUUGAUCUGCUAGCCACACAAGCAAACCAGUAGCUUCACAUGUUGUUACCUGGAAAAUCAAACCCUAGGUAACUAAAAAAGUGGCAGGUAACUUUUGAUGGGAUUUGGGGUG